This is a long non-coding RNA of Prionailurus viverrinus (fishing cat), 646 nucleotides long. RefSeq lists it as uncharacterized. NCBI's taxonomy places the organism in Eukaryota, Metazoa, Chordata, Mammalia, Carnivora, Felidae. The transcript has 3 exons. The record is from RefSeq and is a predicted model, not a curated record.
GGAGCGCCCUCGCCGGGAGCGGCGGCCUCACCGGCCCCGGCCCCGGCCCCUCAGACCUCCGCAGUCCCAGGCGCCUGGCGUGCGUCCACCCAGGAGUCGCAGGGGCCGUUCUCAGUCGACCCGCGGGGAACCGGACUCCUAAAGAAAUGACAGUCCCUUGGCACUGCAUUUAAUUGGAGAGGAGCUCAGAUACGGGAGAUUAUAAUUAUGACGCCUGAAAUGUCAAGCUCUUCAAAAGUCUGCCAUUGCCCUCACUCUCACCCUGAACAGCUCUGGGAAACCAAACCAUGCAGUCCCCCAGAGCAAGCCCUGGAUCUCUCAGCCAGGCCUCACCUGGGAAAUCUGAGUGACGUUGACACGCAGGCCGCAGGAAGACUCACAGUGAACUGAGAAGCCUGUGCUGAGCUCAGAAGAGACCAAAGUCUACUUGGAGGCCCCAACACAACUAACCCUAUGCGAGGAACGUGCUGAGGGUCUCUUAGCUUCCUGCAACCAAGACCAGAUUGAAAGGACCAAACCAGGAUAAUGAGGCCAUAAACCAACCAGACUCUGGAGCCACAUUGUCUGAGCUCAAAUUCCAUCUCCAUAAUUGCCAGCUACUGGGCCUCCAUCACAUUCCUCCCUAAGACUCAGUUUUCUUGCUGGU